Molecule: long non-coding RNA, 2360 nt
Organism: Cavia porcellus (domestic guinea pig)
Lineage: Eukaryota; Metazoa; Chordata; Mammalia; Rodentia; Caviidae
Exons: 3
Source: RefSeq, a predicted model, not a curated record
UCUUUGCAGCCAAGGAGAAAUCAGCUUUCCUCCACCAUACUCUCCCUGCAUGAUGUCUUGCCUUGCCACAGGUCUAAAAAUAAAAAGAUCCCCUGGCCAUGGACUGAAAUCCCUGAAGUCAUAGAUAAAAAUCUGCAACAGUACAGAUCUGCUCUGUUAGUGACUGUACCACGCUUCCUGUCUCAUGGAGAUCAGGAGCCACUUCCUGUUCCAUCAAAAACCUGAACUUCAUUUUGAUUGAUCCUAUUUGAGUCAUGUAUACAGACGAAACUAGGAAUAAUACCCACCCCUGCAGACACAGGUUUCACUCAAACUUCAGGGAAGUGAUACGAAGAUGGGAAAGUGGAGGAAGAUUGCUAAGCUGCAACUAGCCAUCAUGUCAAGAAGCUAUACAAGCUGUCCUGUGGAGAACCUCGUGUGGAAGGAAAACCAUCCUCCCACCAGCAGUCAGCACUGCGAACACCAGCACUGGAACAGAUUCUCCAGCAGCAUCCAGUCCCUCAGGCAACUUCAGCGUGUGAGGAGAACUUCACUAGAGACCCCUACACUAAACUGGGACUAGACAGCCCUGUCCCAAAUUUAUGACUUGUAGAACUGUGAGAGAUAAAUGAUCAUUUCAAGCUACUGCAAUUUGGAAUGAUUUAUUAUGCAGUAAUAUGAAACUAAUAAUGCACAUAAGCAGUUUUCAGAUUGAUUUGUUAGAGAUCUUUACCUUUGCACUUUUAUGGUUUGCCUCCAACUUCCAUGUUUUUUGUAGUGUAGGUGUUUAACAUUUUGAUGUAAGUGAAUAUAGAUAGUAAUUCUUUUAUUUAAUGAUUCAUUUGGUCUUCAAAGCACUAAUUUAUGAAGAAUCAAUUCUAUGUUACAUUUUUACCACUUUAUAUAUUUGAAAUCAAAUAUGUAUUUUUAAUCCUAUUUCUAUAUUGAUUAGAACCAUGAGAAAGAAUAAUGGUGAUUAUAGAUUUUCUCAUCUGACUCUUUGAUUUUGAUGGAAAUUACUCUGGUGAUAUAUAUUCCACACCUAGAAAAAUGUACUAUCUAAAAAAAAGCCCCUGUUGACUGCAGUGACAGUCCAAAUCUGUCUUGUUCUCAUAGAUACAUACACUAUAUUUAUCUGAAGCACUUUCUUUCAGUUCCCUCUCUGAAUCUGGCACUGUAGUUCAUAGCAAUGAUCCCCAAGUUUCAUUUAAUGGCUUACUUCAUAUAUUACUUCUAGCUCAUUCUAUCAUGUGUGGUUGUAGAUGUGUCUAGACUAGACAUGUGACUAGACAGAUAAACAGAUAACCUAUAGAUAGAUGCCACAGAUACAGGUAGACAUAGAUAUAUAGAUGUUUGGUCAAAGUUCAUUUGCUAUUAUUUAUGUCCAGGAAUUUGUACAUGUAGGACUUCAGGGACUAUGUUUAGGUGAACAACUUUCACAGGAAACACAGACAACUCAGGUAAUCUGAAAGCAUCUGGCAAAAACAAAACAAGAUAUUUUGUCUACAGUUGUAUGGAAUUGUGCCUUCAUAAAAUCUAUUUGGUGCUGAAAACCCCUCUGGAACACUUUGCAGUGUACCACACUGAUGGGCGGGCCCAGGAGCCAGCGCUCCUCAGAGAAAGCUAAAGAUGUUGUUCUUCACCUCAUUUCCCAGGCUGCCAGGCAGAAUGCAAUGGCCUGGGUGACGGCUGAUCCAUGAGGUGACUGUGAGAUUUUACUGACUUAUAAAAUGACACCACGGAACUGCUUGGUUUAGCUGUGAGAAGCUGUGUGUCAAACUGUCCUGUGGACAAGCAAAGAUACUUCAAACUGUUACAGAUUCUACUUUACAACUGCUCAGCUAGAAUUAUGCUCUCCCCUGUGACCUUCAGCUCAGCAGUGCGUGUUUCUUUGACUAUCCCUAGGACCUUGUGGGCCCAUUUAUAUAAAGCCCACUCCCCUGGCUUUAUAUUUUAGUGGAGAGGAGAGCAGAGGCAGAGUAUUUCUUAACUAGAUCCCUGGAAAAACAUGCCAGCAAGCACCACCAUCAUGCCUCCAACCUCCUCUCAUGUGCUCCUCUUCUAUGAGGCAUAUCUCUUCCUCAUCAGGGAGUAUUAUGACAUUCAAGAUGUUUGUGUGGUUGUUUGGUGGCUGAUAUUUCUGGAUAUCUCUGUUUUUGUGACACUCCACCUAACCUGUCAUAUAGUAUCAUAUGUACUGGUUAUAUUAACACAUAGCAUAGUGAGCUUAUGAGUUUCACGAUUGCUGCCGCAAUAGUGUUCUUUGUCAGAAGCAAAACAACUAUACACUGAAGUUCCAUGAGUGUGUACACUAUUUUUCUCAUUGCUGUAUCCUUAGUAAAAUGAAUACUUUUUGGCCAUGGUAAGUAUCAUAAUAAAAG